RNAcentral lists this ribosomal RNA (490 nucleotides) under uncultured bacterium. RNAcentral's name for it is "partial 16S ribosomal RNA". It matches the Rfam family "Bacterial small subunit ribosomal RNA", at positions 28 to 507 of the family's 1533-position model. The record is from RNAcentral.
GAUGAACGCUAGCGAUAGGCUUAACACAUGCCAGUCGAGGGGCAGCAUGGUCUUAGCUUGCUAAGGCUGAUGGCGACCGGCGCACGGGUGCGUAACGCGUAUGCAACUUGCCUCACAGAGGGGGAUAACCCGUCGAAAGACGGACUAAUACCGCGUACACUCUAUGUUGGGCAUCCAAUGUAGAGGAAAUGAAAUUCGCUGUGAGAUAGGCAUGCGUCCCAUUAGCUAGUUGGUGAGGUAACGGCUCACCAAGGCGACGAUGGGUAGGGGAACUGAGAGGUUGAACCCCCACACUGGUACUGAGACACGGACCAGACUCCUACGGGAGGCAGCAGUGAGGAAUAUUGGUCAAUGGGCGAGAGCCUGAACCAGCCAAGUCGCGUGAAGGAUGACUGUCUUAUGGAUUGUAAACUUCUUUUAGACGGGAAUAACAAGAGUCACGUGUGGCUCCCUGCAUGUACCGUAUGAAUAAGCAUCGGCUAACUCCGUG